CCUACGGAGGCAGCAGUAGGGAAUCUUCCGCAAUGGACGAAAGUCUGACGGAGCAACGCCGCGUGAGUGAUGAAGGCUUUCGGGUCGUAAAACUCUGUUGUUAGGGAAGAACAAGUGCUAGUUGAAUAAGCUGGCACCUUGACGGUACCUAACCAGAAAGCCACGGCUAACUACGUGCCAGCAGCCGCGGUAAU
This 194-nucleotide ribosomal RNA is filed under the name uncultured bacterium. RNAcentral's name for it is "partial 16S ribosomal RNA". It matches the Rfam family "Bacterial small subunit ribosomal RNA", at positions 338 to 524 of the family's 1533-position model. The record is from RNAcentral.